CGAGGACCAAGAGAAGAAGAUGGUAAGUUCACGUACUUUCCCUCUAUCCUUUAAAACUUUGGAACUAUGAAACUUGCUCUAUCCUUUAAACUUUGGCAUCUACUCCGACUGCGGAUGAUUGGCUAAUUCAUCCUUACAAAUUACAAUCAACAUUGACCUCGUAAUUAUUUCACUUUUCAAGUAGAUCGAGUUCCACCCUCAUUAAAUAUGAAAUCAUUUAGCCAAACACUUGAACAUAUAAUACAAGAUUUAUAAUUAUAAUAAUAAUAAUAUAUAUUUCUUUUAUCAAAAUUACAUCAUGAAAAUCAUUGAAGAUUUGAAGGUAAAAAGAAAUAUCAUCCAAUUUUUCCCCAUAGAUAAUAGAUUAGUGUUAUAUAUCAUAUAGAUAGUGGUGUAGUAUUUUCAAUAUUAUUUUCAUACACUGGAUAUAUAGUAUGUCAAUAUAGUGAUUAGGGUUUAAGUAGUUUAAUUAUGUAUUUCGAUCACUACAGAUUCUUCACACCUUAUAACAAUAGCCUUAUCACAAACAUAAACAUUUUUUUCAAGCAUUAAUUUACUAUUAAUUCCAGAAAUACUCUCACCGGUCAUCAAAGAUUCACACUUUAUAACAGAGGACCCAUCACAAGCAUAGACGCUAGAUUGAACAGCAGUACUACCAAUUGGCUCAACAGCACCAUCAGCCACAGUAGUAUGUGCUAAAUUAUUUAGCAGCAAUGCGAAUGCAAACACAAACAUUGAGAAAAGUAGAACACGUUGAGAGCUUGAAUCAGCUAUGCUUUAGAAGGUAAUGAAAGAGUUUAGAAAAUUGAG
RNAcentral lists this long non-coding RNA (810 nucleotides) under Zostera marina. RNAcentral's name for it is "long non-coding RNA (ZMAR_LNC002216)". Lineage: Eukaryota; Viridiplantae; Streptophyta; Magnoliopsida; Alismatales; Zosteraceae. The record is from RNAcentral.